UGGCCGCUCGCGAAAUGGCAUCGCGUCUGAGUACAAUGAGUAUCUUUCCAAGUGCAACGUAUCAGGAGAUUGCGGGUUCAACCCCUGCGGUGGUCAG
Molecule: non-coding RNA, 97 nt
Organism: Marasmius tenuissimus
Lineage: Eukaryota; Fungi; Basidiomycota; Agaricomycetes; Agaricales; Marasmiaceae
Source: the annotation of a GenBank genome assembly